GUAAGGAAUAUUGGACAAUGGGGGAAACCCUGAUCCAGCCAUGCCGCGUGAGUGAAGAAGGCCUUCGGGUUGUAAAACUCUUUCAGAUGUGAAGAUGAUGACGGUAACAUCAGAAGAAGCUCCGGCUAACUUCGUGCCAGCAGCCGCGGUAAUACGAAGGGAGCGAGCGUUGUUCGGAAUCACUGGGCGUAAAGAGUGCGUAGGCGGUUAUACAAGUCAGGAGUGAAAUCCCAGAGCUUAACUUUGGAAUUGCUUUUGAAACUGUAUAGCUAGAGUCCCGGAGGGGUUAAUGGAAUUCCGAGUGUAGAGGUGAAAUUCGCAGAUAUUCGGAGGAACACCAGUGGCGAAGGCGAUUAACUGGACCAGCACUGACACUGAGGCACGAAAGCGUGGGGAGCAAACAGGAUUAGAAACCCUAGUAGUCC
RNAcentral lists this ribosomal RNA (425 nucleotides) under uncultured bacterium. RNAcentral describes it as "partial 16S ribosomal RNA". It matches the Rfam family "Bacterial small subunit ribosomal RNA", at positions 354 to 796 of the family's 1533-position model. The record is from RNAcentral.